Molecule: ribosomal RNA, 311 nt
Filed under: Bacillus cereus
Lineage: Bacteria; Bacillati; Bacillota; Bacilli; Caryophanales; Bacillaceae
Description: bacterial SSU rRNA
Rfam family: Bacterial small subunit ribosomal RNA
Source: RNAcentral
UUUAUUGGAGAGUUUGAUCCUGGCUCAGGAUGAACGCUGGCGGCGUGCCUAAUACAUGCAAGUCGAGCGAAUGGAUUAAGAGCUUGCUCUUAUGAAGUUAGCGGCGGACGGGUGAGUAACACGUGGGUAACCUGCCCAUAAGACUGGGAUAACUCCGGGAAACCGGGGCUAAUACCGGAUAACAUUUUGAACUGCAUGGUUCGAAAUUGAAAGGCGGCUUCGGCUGUCACUUAUGGAUGGACCCGCGUCGCAUUAGCUAGUUGGUGAGGUAACGGCUCACCAAGGCAACGAUGCGUAGCCGACCUGAGAGG